UACGUAGGGUGCAAGCGUUAAUCGGAAUUACUGGGCGUAAAGCGUGCGCAGGCGGUUUUGUAAGUCUGUCGUGAAAGCCCCGGGCUUAACCUGGGAAUUGCGAUGGAGACUGCAAGGCUUGAAUCUGGCAGAGGGGGGUAGAAUUCCACGUGUAGCAGUGAAAUGCGUAGAGAUGUGGAGGAACACCGAUGGCGAAGGCAGCCCCCUGGGUCAAAACUGACGCUCAUGCACGAAAGCGUGGGGAGCAAACAGG
Molecule: ribosomal RNA, 253 nt
Filed under: uncultured bacterium
Lineage: Bacteria
Description: partial 16S ribosomal RNA
Rfam family: Bacterial small subunit ribosomal RNA
Source: RNAcentral